GAAGAGAGAGUUCAAGAGUACGUGAAACUGCUUAGAGGUAAACGGGUGGGCCCUCGAAAUCCUGUGGCGGGAGCAUUCAGUUGGAGCGUCUGCGGCGCUGGCCGGGAGAGUAAGCGAAGGUUCCCGUGACGGGGCCGUCCUGGCUUGCGAUCCGUGGCGAUCCGACGCAUUUGUUUUCCGUCCGAUAGGACGCCGCAACCGGUUGGGAGACGGCCUUAAGGGCGAGAACCGGCAGGUGGCCGGCGGCGGUGACUUAUUUCCCGGCGCCGGUUGUUAGCCUUCUCGUCGCACGGCCCGUUUUCCGACCGUGGCAAAAGAGAGGCCUUGUUGGGCUUCGACGUCUCCUCCCUUUACCGGUGUGGCGGGUGAAGAAGCGCGGCAGGAGUUCAAGACGAGGUGUGGGCGCACGGACUGACUCCGUGGCCAUUCGCCCUCUUGUCUCUGUUGGCUGCGCAAGUCCCGUGGGAGUGAUUGACGGUUGGCGGCGAGUAGAUCGGUCACCCACCCGACCCGUCUUGAAACACGGACCAAGGAGUAUAACAUGUGUGCGAGUCAAUGGGUCUUGAAUAAGCCCAGAGGCGCAAUGAAAGUUAAGGCCGGAGGACUCCGGCCGUGUCGGGACCCUGGUCCUUGUGAUCGGGGCGCACCGGCGACCCGCCCCUAUCCGCUCGCGGGUGAGGCGGAGUCUGAGCACACACGUUGUGACCCGAAAGAUGGUGAACUAUGCCCGGACAGGACGAGGCCAGAGGAAACUCUGGUGGAGGU
RNAcentral lists this ribosomal RNA (765 nucleotides) under Fusciphantes hibanus. RNAcentral describes it as "eukaryotic LSU rRNA". It matches the Rfam family "Eukaryotic large subunit ribosomal RNA", at positions 378 to 874 of the family's 3401-position model. Lineage: Eukaryota; Metazoa; Arthropoda; Arachnida; Araneae; Linyphiidae. The record is from RNAcentral.